This 446-nucleotide ribosomal RNA is filed under the name uncultured bacterium. Its description in RNAcentral is "partial 16S ribosomal RNA". It matches the Rfam family "Bacterial small subunit ribosomal RNA", at positions 338 to 795 of the family's 1533-position model. The record is from RNAcentral.
CCUACGGGUGGCUGCAGUCGAGAAUCAUUCACAAUGGGGGAAACUCUGAUGGUGCGACGCCGCGUGGGGGAAUGAAGGUCUUCGGAUUGUAAACCCCUGUCAUGUGGGAGCAAAUUAAAAAGAUAGUACCACAAGAGGAAGAGACGGCUAACUCUGUGCCAGCAGCCGCGGUAAUACAGAGGUCUCAAGCGUUGUUCGGAAUCACUGGGCGUAAAGCGUGCGUAGGCUGUUUCGUAAGUCGUGUGUGAAAGGCGCGGGCUCAACCCGCGGACGGCACAUGAUACUGCGAGACUAGAGUGAUGGGGGGGGAACCGGAAUUCUCGGUGUAGCAGUGAAAUGCGUAGAUAUCGAGAGGAACACUCGUGGCGAAGGCGGGUUCCUGUACAUUAACUGACGCUGAGGCACGAAGGUCAGGGGAGCGAAAGGGAUUAGAUACCCUAGUAGUC